RNAcentral lists this transfer RNA (76 nucleotides) under Deltaproteobacteria bacterium. Its description in RNAcentral is "tRNA-Glu". It matches the Rfam family "tRNA". Rfam says of the family: Transfer RNA (tRNA) molecules are approximately 80 nucleotides in length. Their secondary structure includes four short double-helical elements and three loops (D, anti-codon, and T loops). The record is from RNAcentral. Lineage: Bacteria; Pseudomonadati; Myxococcota; Myxococcia.
GGCCCCAUCGUCUAGAGGGCAAGGACACCGUCCUUUCACGGCGGUAACCCGGGUUCGAAUCCCGGUGGGGACGCCA